RNAcentral lists this small RNA (106 nucleotides) under Marmota monax (woodchuck). Lineage: Eukaryota; Metazoa; Chordata; Mammalia; Rodentia; Sciuridae. The record is from RNAcentral.
CCCAGGUGCCGUGGUGCAUACCUGUAAUCCCAGAAGCUUGGGAGGCUGAGGCAGGAGGAUCACAGUUUAAAGCCAGUCUCAGCAACUCAGUGAGACCCUGUCUCUA